RNAcentral lists this unclassified non-coding RNA (794 nucleotides) under Hevea brasiliensis (rubber tree). The record is from RNAcentral. Lineage: Eukaryota; Viridiplantae; Streptophyta; Magnoliopsida; Malpighiales; Euphorbiaceae.
GAUGCAUUACAUCGUUCUUGGAACAAAAUUAUGUACAUAAAACUUACAGGAAUCAUGUUUUGUGUGUGGUAAAACUCCAUAAGGACUAGUCCAAGAUACUGAGAUCAAGGAUUUCUAAGUGCAGCCAAUCUCUUCUCCAGUUCAUCGAUCCCCGAACUGCUUGAUUCCUCAGUCCUUUUUCCAGCAAUUUUUCCCUUGGGAGCCGCUGACAACUGUGAGGCAACAUCAAUUCCAAUUUCAUCAAGGACCUGAUUUGUCAAAUCUUCAGUUUCCUCUUCUGCUUCGUCAUCAUCUAUAGCAUCAUCUAUGGCAUCUGACAUCAUUUCAGUCGUCAUAUCCAAUUGAGCUGAUUGCUUCUGGAAAUCUUGCAUCACCUUCGCUUGCUUUGCAGGGUCCAUUUGCUUAUUCAUAGCAGUCAUAGCCUUAGUGGCUCCUUUCAUGCCUGAAGCAACCGAAGAUUGGGCAGAUAUUGCCUGUGUGUGAGUCGCUAUACCUCUCAUUUGAGCCCGACUACCUUGCAAGUUCGCUAUUUGCUGUCUAAGCCUGAUUAACUGACGUGCUAGAACUUUUGUUGCUGUCUCAUUUCCAGUUUUAGCAGUCCUUUUUAUUUCAGCAACAAGUUUUUUUUCCUCUGAUUGUAAAGCGGAAAUUUCCUUCUCAAUACCUCUGGUGGCAUGAGUCAGUUCUCUUCUACUUUCCCUAAGCGCUUCUUUGGCAUUGGGUUUCUUGGAAAAGAUGUUCAUAUUGAUUAAAUCAAACAACAAAUAUUAAAAUUAUGGAAAAUUGGGAUUCUG